Molecule: long non-coding RNA, 923 nt
Organism: Solanum pennellii
Lineage: Eukaryota; Viridiplantae; Streptophyta; Magnoliopsida; Solanales; Solanaceae
Exons: 2
Source: RefSeq, a predicted model, not a curated record
CAGCUCGCGCGUCUUCCUCUCCAUACGAAGAAUCUUCCAGGUGUGACGAUCGUGUUGCUUCUUCGUCCUCCGCUCAGAAAUCGGACGGGCGCCAUUUUCUAUCCGUUGAAAAUGGUACAGUGACAACUUUCAACCUUAUCUCCAAUUCGAAUUUCGAAUUGCACUCCAAAUCCAUCCCAAAUUUUCCCCCUUUUCAGCCCUAGUUUGGCCUAUAAAUAUCCUCCUUUCUUCAUUGUUAGAAGUUGGAAGUUUUCGAGUCGAUACAAAGUGAAGGAUACAUUGAAAUACAUAGGUUUCUUUGAGGCAAAAAUAGGCACAAAAGUCCACAGAUAUUACAAAGUGUGUUUUAGGUUCUAUUUUCUUUUUCAUCGAAACCUCGGAAUAACGUCUCGCUGGUGAAAGCUUGUUAUCUUUAGCUCGUUUGGUCUCUGUUCGCUACUCCGAAAUAGGUGGAAGACGGUGAAUAGAUGGCUGGAAAUUAAAUUUUCCAUCCCCGAAAAGUCGAAAACAGGUUGAUAUACCAGCUGUAUACAUUGAUAUACAGUCAUAAUAUACGAUAUACAGGUACAAAAAAAAGUGGAAGUACAGGUGAAAUGCAGAGAAUAUAAAGUUCGACGAAAUAAAGGUUUCGAAAGGCCCAAAAUUGAUUGAACAUGGCUCGUAUACAGUGAUAUACGCAAAAUGUAUACCUUAAACAAUUUCUAAGCAGCUCAGGUUUUGCAUAAAAUGGGCCAAAGCCCAAUCGGACAAAUCAAAAAAUUGAAGGAGAGCAAGUGGGUCAAAAGGCCAAUUUAAUAGAGUUUGGGUCAAAAGUUUAAAUUUGAUAUUCCCUCUCUAUUGUAUUUAUUUGUUAUUGUGUUGACUAACUUUUUUAUAUUUUGGUUAUUAUUUAAUUAAAUUACCGAGAGAAGUCAUUUCCUUUU